Long non-coding RNA from Pangasianodon hypophthalmus (striped catfish), 1147 nucleotides. RefSeq lists it as uncharacterized. Lineage: Eukaryota; Metazoa; Chordata; Actinopteri; Siluriformes; Pangasiidae. The record is from RefSeq and is a predicted model, not a curated record. The transcript has 3 exons.
UGUGUCAUGUUCUGAUUGGUUCCUUUGUUUCGUGUGUCAUGUUUUCAUUGGUUGGUUUUGUCAUGUGUUCUCCCUGUUCUAUAUAAAAGUUGCUCACCCAUGCUCCUAGGGGCUGAUUGUUGUUUUGUGUUUGUGAUUGUUAUAGCCAUUCCGAGUUUCCGAGUUUCCGAGUUUCCGAGUUUCCAUGUUUGUGUUUCCUAGUUUACCUGUGUUUUUGACCCUUGGACUGUUUUCCAUGUUUUUGAUUGUUUGCUGCCUGCCCUGACCAUUGCCUGUGUUCUGGAUUACUCUUUUGCUUCUGCCUUGGAUUAUACUGUUGCUGGUGCUCGACCCUGCCUGUUUUGACCACGCUAGUAAAUAAAGCCUUGCAUUUGGAUCCCCAACUCCGUUGUUGACCCCUCUACGUUACACACUUGUAGUUAGCCCGCUGUGGUUAGACACCAUGUUACAACUACAUCUGAAAAUAAAGACCACUUGGAGGAGUCGCACCUGGAAAAAGUACAACCCCUGGAGAGCUGUUCCAAACUGGAUAAGUACACCUUGCCAAGAACAAGUCAAAUGGCCCAGCUCAGGGCACAGACCAGAAGAGCUGAGGUUAAGAUGGCAGUCACCAUGGUGCAGCACAACAUUCCUCUGGCUUUCUCUGACCACUUCAGCCCAUUCCUCAGAGAGUGUUUCCCUGACUCACAGAUUGCCCAAAGAUAUUCUUCUACCAGGACUAAGACCAGCGCCAUAAUCAACAAGUGUAUAGCCCCCUAUCUGAAGAAUGAACUAGUGAAGAACCUCUGCAAUCAGCCUUUUACAUUAGCGACUGAGGGGUCCAACGAUACUGGUGUAUAUGAACAUGUUGAACAGUUAAUUACUGAGUGCUAAAGUCUAUGUACAAUUGAGUAAUCAAUUAUAUAUUCCUAAUAUAUAAACUAUAAUUUAAAACUAAUUUGAGUCAUAGAUCCAUAAGGCAUAACUAAAGUUUAUUCUUUAGUUUUAAUUGUUUUUUUAUUAUAAAACAUACCACUUUGUUUGGUUUUGAACUUGUAUUGAUUAGUUUUGAAAACCGUAUGUGAACAUGUGAAAAAUAAUUUGUAGAUACACAGAGUUUUGUUCGAGGUUCAGUUUGAGUGAGAAAAGAUUUCAUGAAUUCUGAAAG